GAGCAAGACCGCGUGAGGGAGGAAGGCUCUUGGGUUGUAAACCUCUUUUCUCAGGGAAUAAGUUCUGAAGGUACCUGAGGAAUAAGCAUCGGCUAACUCCGUGCCAGCAGCCGCGGUAAUACGGAGGAUGCAAGCGUUAUCCGGAAUCAUUGGGCGUAAAGCGUCCGCAGGUGGAGUGGUAAGUCUGUUGUCAAAGAACGGGGCUUAACCCCGUAAAGGCGAUGGAAACUGCCACACUAGAGGCUGGUAGGGGUAGAGGGAAUUCCCAGUGUAGCGGUGAAAUGCGUAGAGAUUGGGAAGAACACCAGUGGCGAAAGCGCUCUACUGGACCAGAACUGACACUCAGGGACGAAAGCUAGGGGAGCGAAAGGGAUUAGAUACCCCUGUAGUCCUAGCCGUAAACGAUGGAUACUAGGCGUAGCUCGUAUCGACCCGAGCUGUGCCGAAGCUAACGCGUUAAGUAUCCCGCCUGGGGAGUACGCACGCAAGUGUGAAACUCAAAGGAAUUGACGGGGGCCCGCACAAGCGGUGGAGUAUGUGGUUUAAUUCGAUGCAACGCGAAGAACCUUACCAGGGCUUGACAUCUGGCGAAUCUCAAUGAAAGUUGGGAGUGCCUUAGGGAACGCCAAGACAGGUGGUGCAUGGCUGUCGUCAGCUCGUGUCGUGAGAUGUUGGGUUAAGUCCCGCAACGAGCGCAACCCUCGUCCUUAGUUGCCAGCAUUAAGUUGGGAACUCUAGGGAGACUGCCGGUGACAAACCGGAGGAAGGUGGGGAUGACGUCAAGUCAGCAUGCCCCUUACGCCCUGGGCUACACACGUACUACAAUGGUCGGGACAACGGGCAGCAAGCAGGCGACUGUAAGCGAAUCUCAUCAAACCCGGCCUCAGUUCAGAUUGCAGGCUGCAACUCGCCUGCAUGAAGGAGGAAUCGCUAGUAAUCGCAGGUCAGAAUACUGCGGUGAAUCCGUUCCCGGGCCUUGUACACACCGCCCGUCACACCAUGGGAGCUGGCCACGCCCGAAGUCGUUACUCCAACCUGCAAAGGAGGAGGAUGCCGAAGGCAGGGCUAGUGACUGGGGUGAAGUCGUAACAAGGUAGCCGUACCGGAAGGUG
RNAcentral lists this ribosomal RNA (1112 nucleotides) under uncultured cyanobacterium. RNAcentral's name for it is "bacterial SSU rRNA". It matches the Rfam family "Bacterial small subunit ribosomal RNA", at positions 389 to 1514 of the family's 1533-position model. The record is from RNAcentral. Lineage: Bacteria; Bacillati; Cyanobacteriota.